GCCUGGAGGCCAGGGGACUUGCACACAGAGGGAGGGCAGAGGGGCUGCACCACCAGACAAGUCCCCAGGCUGCCGACGGCCUCUGCUGCCUCCCCACCCUGACCCUGCUCCCCACCCAGGCCCACCAGCCUCGCUUUCUUCAGCUGCACGGGGGACUCUGUCUCACCCGGGGGCUCGCCGGGCCUGCCCUCCAGGGCCUCACCGCAGCCAAGUGGGGCUGGGCCAUCACAGGCCUGGAGAAGGCAGGAGGCCGGGGCUCCUGGCUACUGGCCCUUGGCAGCCUCUCGGCCUCCUGCUUGGAGUGCCCUCGUCAUCUGCCUGGAAUUCCAGUGGAAGAACCUGCUCUCGCAGGUUGUCCUGCAGCUCCCAGCCCCCGCUUGGUGGUUUGUGGGUGUGGGGGCCCCCACCUUCUGCUGGCUCAGCCCCCUCCUCUCCUGCCUGGUGGUGGCGGGUGGGGCGGGGGGAGGGAAGGUGCCCGUGAACAGAGUCCUUUCUCCAGGGUGAAAAGGAGCCCCAGGACCCUGCCCCCAAGGCUGGCCGUCCAGGGAACCCUGGCCGACAACACCUGUCACCCAGGCAUGCUCAGCUUGGAAUCAGGUGCAACACAACUCCCGAGGAAUGAGUUCCUGGAAAAAUCCGGAGCAGAGAAGCUUUGGACAGUGUGUGUUUCUUUGUUGGUAAAUAAUCUCCACUAAGCGAGCUUGGCAGCCCUGCGGGCGCACCCGGGACAGGUGCUCUGGGCCUGGGCCUGUCCUCCGCACAAGAGCUGGACUCUAACCCUCCGCCCCACUGGGACCCAUGGAGGUGGAGGGGCG
This 815-nucleotide long non-coding RNA is filed under the name Sus scrofa (pig). RNAcentral describes it as "lncRNA (ENSSSCG00070014506.1)". The record is from RNAcentral. Lineage: Eukaryota; Metazoa; Chordata; Mammalia; Artiodactyla; Suidae.